RNAcentral lists this ribosomal RNA (253 nucleotides) under uncultured bacterium. RNAcentral describes it as "partial 16S ribosomal RNA". It matches the Rfam family "Bacterial small subunit ribosomal RNA", at positions 524 to 776 of the family's 1533-position model. The record is from RNAcentral.
CACGUAGGGGGCAAGCGUUGUCCGGAUUUAUUGGGCGUAAAGGGCUCGUAGGUGGCCAACUAAGUCGGACGUGAAAUCCCUCAGCUUAACUGGGGAACUGCGUCCGAUACUGGAUGGCUCGAGUUUGGGAGAGGGAUGCGGAAUUCCAGGUGUAGCGGUGAAAUGCGUAGAUAUCGUAAGGAAGACCAGUGGCGAAGGCGGGUCUCUGGACAGUUCCUGACGCUGAGGCACGAAGGCCAGGGGAGCAAACGGG